Molecule: small nuclear RNA, 105 nt
Organism: Dromiciops gliroides (monito del monte)
Lineage: Eukaryota; Metazoa; Chordata; Mammalia; Microbiotheria; Microbiotheriidae
Source: RefSeq, a predicted model, not a curated record
GCUUGCUUCGGCAGGACUUAUACUAAAAUUGGAACGAUACAGAGAAGAUUAGCAUGGCCCCUGCACAAGGAUGACAAACAAAUUCAUGAAGCGAAAUUCUCUGAG